AACGAACGCUGGCGGCAUGCCUAACACAUGCAAGUCGAACGAGAAGUUCGGGUCUUGUGGCGCUCGGGUGCGUGCCGAGUGGGAACCUGCCCUUAGGUUAGGAAUCAUUGACCGAAGGGGGUGCUAAUGCAAGUUAAUGUCAUCGGAGCAAAGAUGUAUGGCCUUUGGAUGGGCCUUCGUAGGAUUAGCUGGUUGGUAGGGUAAAAGCCUAGCAAGGCGUCGUUGCAUAGCUGGUCGGUGAGGAUGACCAGCCACACUGGGACUGAGACACGGCCCAGACUCCGACGGGAGGGAGCAGAGUGGAAUAUUGGACAAGGGGCGAAAGCGUGAUCCAGCAGUGCCGCGUAAGUCAGGAAGGCCUUAGGGUUGUAAAUCUCUUUUACCCGGGAUGAUAAUGACAGUACCGGGAGAAUAAGCUCCGGCUAACUCCGUG
Molecule: ribosomal RNA, 433 nt
Filed under: uncultured bacterium
Lineage: Bacteria
Description: partial 16S ribosomal RNA
Rfam family: Bacterial small subunit ribosomal RNA
Source: RNAcentral